GGGCCCGCACAAGCGGUGGAGCAUGUGGUUUAAUUCGAAGAUACGCGCAGAACCUUACCAACACUUGACAUGUUCGUCGCGACUUUAAGAGAUUAAAGUUUUCGGUUCGGCCGGACGAAACACAGGUGCUGCAUGGCUGUCGUCAGCUCGUGUCGUGAGAUGUUGGGUUAAGUCCCGCAACGAGCGCAACCCUCACUUUUAGUUGCCAUCAUUAAGUUGGGCACUCUAGAGAGACUGCCGGUGAUAAACCGGAGGAAGGUGUGGAUGACGUCAAGUCAUCAUGCCCCUUACAUCCUGGGCUACACACGUACUACAAUGCUACGGACAAAGGGCAGCAAGUUCGCGAGGACAAG
This 353-nucleotide ribosomal RNA is filed under the name uncultured bacterium. RNAcentral describes it as "bacterial SSU rRNA". It matches the Rfam family "Bacterial small subunit ribosomal RNA", at positions 917 to 1267 of the family's 1533-position model. The record is from RNAcentral.